GGCUCAGGAUGAACGCUGGCGGCGUGCUUAACACAUGCAAGUCGAACGAAGCUCUUGAACUGAGGAUUCGUCUGAAGUGAUGAGAUGACUUAGUGGCGGACGGGUGAGUAACGCGUGGGUAACCUGCCGUAUGCAGGGGGACAACAGUUGGAAACGACUGCUAAUACCGCAUAAGCGCACGGUAUUGCAUGAUACAGUGUGAAAAGAUUUAUCGGCAUACGAUGGACCCGCGUCUGAUUAGCUAGUUGGUGAGGUAACGGCCCACCAAGGCGACGAUCAGUAGCCGGCCUGAGAGGGUGAACGGCCACAUUGGGACUGAGACACGGCCCAAACUCCUACGGGAGGCAGCAGGUGGGGAAUAUUGCACAAUGGGGGAAACCCUGAUGCAGCCGACGCCGCGUGAGUGAAGAAGUAUCUCGGUAUGUAAAGCUCUAUCAGCAGGGAAGAAAAUGACGGUACCUGACUAAGAAGCCCCGGCUAACUACGUGCCAGCCGCAGC
This 499-nucleotide ribosomal RNA is filed under the name uncultured bacterium. Its description in RNAcentral is "bacterial SSU rRNA". It matches the Rfam family "Bacterial small subunit ribosomal RNA", at positions 21 to 518 of the family's 1533-position model. The record is from RNAcentral.